Molecule: long non-coding RNA, 1939 nt
Organism: Papio anubis (olive baboon)
Lineage: Eukaryota; Metazoa; Chordata; Mammalia; Primates; Cercopithecidae
Source: Ensembl
AUGGAAAAAGUAAUGGAGUCUGGAGGAGAAAUGAAAAGAACUUUAAUAUACGAAAAAGAAGAUGUUGAAGUCUCCCAGCUAAGGGAACAAAACACAACAGGGCACAGAAAUUCAACUGUAUUCAGGGAAUGGGUUGGGAUUUCUAGGUCUCUGGACCAAGUGGCAAGGGGAGGUGACUAGGAGAUGAAUCUGGAGAAUUAGGUUUGGAAAAUUUUGAAUGUUUUUAGGUACUGUGAUAGAAUGCAAAAGUAGUCAGAAAUUAUUCUCACCCCUUUAUGCAUACAACUUGCCCACCCCCUUUCAAAUAGACUUUUUUUUUCUAAAAGCAUUUUAGAUUUAUAAAAAGUUGUGCAGAAAGUACAAAGAUUUCUCAGGUGCUCCCUCUCCUCCCCCUACAUUCUGACACACGUGGUUUCUCCUAUUAUGAUUUUAUAUUAGUGUCAUACAUUUGUCACAACUCAUGAACCAAUAUUGGCACAUUAUUACUACCUAAAGUCCAUAGUUGGCAUUAAGGCUCAUGCUGCGUCACAUAUCCUAUGGGUGUUGAUAAAUGUAUGUCAUGUGUCCACCAUUAAAGUAUCAGAAGGAAUAGUUUCACUGCCCUAAAAAUUCCCUGUGUUUCACCUAUUCAUCCCUCCCUUCUUCCCUCAAACCUCUGGCCUUCAUUCAUCUUUUACUGUCUUAUAGUUUUGUCUUUUCAAGAAUGCUAUAUAAUCGGCUGGGUACGGUGGCUCACACCUGUAAUCCCAGCAUUUUGGGAGGCCGAAGCAGGCAGAUCACGAGGUCAGGAGAUCCCCAUCUCUACUAAAAAUACAAAAAAAUUAGCUAGGUGUGGUGGUGCACCUGUAAGCCCAGCUAUUUGGGAGGCCGAGGCAGGAGAAUCGUUUGAACCUGGGAGGUGGAGCGUGCAGUGAGCCUAGAUUAUGUCACUGCACUCCAGUCUGGCAACAGAGUGAGACUUCGUCUCAAAAAAAAAAAAAAGUGAUCUAAUCGAAAUCACACAACAUAUGAAGCCUUUUCAGAUUGGCUCCUUUUACUUAGUGAAAUGCACUGAAGCAUUUAAGAGCCUUCCAUGUUGGCCAGACGCAGUGGCUCACACCUAAAAUCCCAGCACUUUGGGACGCUGAGGCAGUCGGAUCACUUGAGGCCAGGUAUUCGAGAUCAGUCUUGCCAAAAUGAUAAAACCCUGUCUCUACUAAAAAUACAAAAUUAGCCAGGUGUGGUGGCACGCACCUGUAGUCCCAGCUACUCGGGAGGCUGAGGCACAAGAAUUGCUUGAACCCGAGACAAGGAGAUUGUAGUGAGCUGAGAUUGGCCACCACAUUCUAGCCUGGGUGACACAGCGAGACUUUGUCUCAAAAAAAAAAAAAAAAAAAAAAAAAAAGAGUCCUCCAUGUCUUUUCAUGGUGUGUGAUAGCUCAUUUCUUUUUAUUGUUAAGUAAUAUUCCAUUGCCUGGAUUUAUCACAGUUGUUUAUAUAUCCAUCUAUUGAGGAAUAUCUUGGUUGCUUCAAAUUUUCGGUAAUUAUGAAUAAAACUGCUAUCAGUAUUCAUGCACACCUCUUUUUAAUGUGACUUUGCAGCUCUCCUCAGCAACAUACGAUAUCUGUUUCUCUACCCCUUGAAGUCAGGCUUCACCAUUUGAUUAAUUUGGGUCUGUGGCUCACUAGGAAGCGUGAAGAAUGAACAGGGGGACUUUGCCUGCUUGCUGCUCUUGGAACCCUGCCACAAUUAUGCGAAGCCUGGGCUAGUAUGCUUGUUGAUGAGACACAAGACCCAACUAUUCCUGGUAGUCCUGGCUGACAGCCAAUGAGACCACUCUAAGCUAUUCAGUCACAGACUGACCUGCAAGUUGGCUUCAAAUGCAUGAAAGACUGAUAGAAAUCAGCAAAGCAGGCUCAGACCAGAAGAACCACCCAGUUGACCCAAGAUUCUCUCGUC